GACGAACGCUGGCGGCGUGCCUAAUACAUGCAAGUAGAACGCUGAAGGAGGAGCUUGCUCUUCUGGAUGAGUUGCGAACGGGUGAGUAACGCGUAGGUAACCUGCCUGGUAGCGGGGGAUAACUAUUGGAAACGAUAGCUAAUACCGCAUAACAGUAGAUGUUGCAUGACAUUUGCUUAAAAGGUGCAAUUGCACCACUACCAGAUGGACCUGCGUUGUAUUGGCUAGUUGGUGGGGUAACGGCUCACCAAGGCGACGAUACAUAGCCGACCUGAGAGGGUGAUCGGCCACACUGGGACUGAGACACGGCCCAGACUCCUACGGGAGGCAGCAGUAGGGAAUCUUCGGCAAUGGACGGAAGUCUGACCGAGCAACGCCGCGUGAGUGAAGAAGGUUUUCGGAUCGUAAAGCUCUGUUGUAAGAGAAGAACGAGUGUGAGAGUGGAAAGUUCACACUGUGACGGUAUCUUACCAGAAAGGGACGGCUAACUACGUG
RNAcentral lists this ribosomal RNA (495 nucleotides) under uncultured bacterium. RNAcentral's name for it is "partial 16S ribosomal RNA". It matches the Rfam family "Bacterial small subunit ribosomal RNA", at positions 28 to 507 of the family's 1533-position model. The record is from RNAcentral.